CAGCCGCCGCGGGAACACCAGCAGCCCAAGUGGUGGUCGCGUUUAUUGGGCCUAAAGCGCUCGUAGCCUGGCCGGUAAGUUCCCCGUGAAAUCGGGUCGCCCAACGAUUCGGCUUGCGGGGAAUACUGUCGGUCUUGGGGCCGGGAGACGCCGAGGGUACUCCGGGGGUAGCGGUGAAAUGCUGUAAUCCUCGGGGGACUACCAGUGGCGAAGGCGCUCGGCGAUAACGGGCCUGACGGUGAGGGGCGAAAGCUGGGGGCGCGAACGGGAUUAGAUACCCCGGUAGUCCCUGUCUCUUAUA
Molecule: ribosomal RNA, 301 nt
Filed under: uncultured bacterium
Lineage: Bacteria
Description: partial 16S ribosomal RNA
Rfam family: Archaeal small subunit ribosomal RNA
Source: RNAcentral